RNAcentral lists this ribosomal RNA (424 nucleotides) under uncultured bacterium. RNAcentral describes it as "bacterial SSU rRNA". It matches the Rfam family "Bacterial small subunit ribosomal RNA", at positions 359 to 774 of the family's 1533-position model. The record is from RNAcentral.
GAAUAUUGGACAAUGGGGGGAACCCUGAUCCCGCCAUGCCGCGUGUGUGAAGAAGGCCUUUUGGUUGUAAAGCACUUUAAGCGAGAAUGAGGCUACUCUAGUUAAUACCCAGCGAUAGUGGACGUUAUUCGCAGAAUAAGCACCGGCUAACUCUGUGCAAGCAGCCGCGGUAAUACAGAGGGUGCAAGCGUUAAUCGGAUUUACUGGGCGUAAAGCGCGCGUAGGUGGCCAAUUAAGUCAAAUGUGAAAUCCCCGAGCUUAACUUGGGAAUUGCAUUCGAUACUGGUUGGCUAGAGUAUGGGAGAGGAUGGUAGAAUUCCAGGUGUAGCGGUGAAAUGCGUAGAGAUCUGGAGGAAUACCGAUGGCGAAGGCAGCCAUCUGGCCUAAUACUGACACUGAGGUGCGAAAGCAUGGGGAGCAAACA